Molecule: ribosomal RNA, 497 nt
Filed under: uncultured bacterium
Lineage: Bacteria
Description: partial 16S ribosomal RNA
Rfam family: Bacterial small subunit ribosomal RNA
Source: RNAcentral
GAUGAACGCUGGCGGCGUGCCUAAUACAUGCAAGUCGAGCGAACAGACGAGGAGCUUGCUCCUUUGACGUUAGCGGCGGACGGGUGAGUAACACGUAGGUAACCUACCUAUAAGACUUGGAUAACUUCGGGAAACCGGAGCUAAUACCGGAUAAUAUUUCGAACCGCAUGGUUCGAUAGUUAAAGAUGGCUUUGCUAUCACUUAUAGCUGGACCUGCGCCGUAUUAGCUAGUUGGUAAGGUAACGGCUUACCAAGGCAACGAUACGUAGCCGACCUGAGAGGGUGAUCAGCCACACUGGAACUGAGACACGGUCCAGACUCCUACGGGAGGCAGCAGUAGGGAAUCUUCCACAAUGGGCGAAAGCCUGACGGAGCAACGCCGCGUGAGUGAUGAAGGUCUUCGGAUCGUAAAACUCUGUUAUUAGGGAAGAACAAACGUGGAAGUAACUGUGCACGUCUUGACGGUACCUAAUCAGAAAGCAACGGCUAACUACGUG